GCCGGGCGCGGUGGUGCGUGCCUGUAGUCCCAGCUAUUCAGGAGGCUGAGGCUGGAGGAUCGCUUGAGCCCAGGAGUUCUGGGCUGUAGUGCGCUAUGUCGAUCGGGUGUCCACACUAAGUUCAGCAUAAUUAUGGUGACCUCCCGGGAGCGGGGGACCACCAGGUUGCCUAAGGAGGGAUGAACCGGCCCAGGUCAGAAACGGAGCAGGUCAAAAACUCCCAUGCUGAUCAGUAGUGGGAUCACGCCUGUGAAUAGCCACUGCACUCCAGCCUGAGCAACAUAGUGAGACCCUGUCUCU
RNAcentral lists this signal recognition particle RNA (300 nucleotides) under Aotus nancymaae (Ma's night monkey). RNAcentral describes it as "Metazoan signal recognition particle RNA (ENSANAG00000003556.1)". It matches the Rfam family "Metazoan signal recognition particle RNA". From Rfam's summary of the family: The signal recognition particle (SRP) is a universally conserved ribonucleoprotein. The record is from RNAcentral. Lineage: Eukaryota; Metazoa; Chordata; Mammalia; Primates; Aotidae.